GCCGUUAACCUAGGGAUACACAAUCAAACAAUAUUACUGGAAAUAUAAGAUUAAAACCUGUCUUGCUAACUGUGCUAGUUCACUACCAAGAUAAAAGCAUGGCGACAGAUUGAAAACGUCAUCAUGCUAACCGGACGUGGCUAGUUGAUGUUGAUGGCUAACGUUAGCCAGUUAGCAUUUUGUGUAAACACAGUAGAAAACUGACAUUUGACAACAAACGAGACGGGUUACCGACACACACCUGGUGGUCUAGGUGGCUCUGGGUCUGGCCUUGGGUCUGGCUCGGCAGGGUAAAAUCGGUGAAGUCGUAUUCAGAGCCCUGAGUGUCUGCUCCCAGCAGCUCUGCUUCCUCGGUGUCCAGGAAGGAGUAUUUUUAAAAUAAAUAAACCACACGCGGCCGCUGUCCAAGAAUUAUGCCGAAAGCGAGGAAAAGUGUGGAUGACAGAGUGACAAACACUGGCGGAAGUAAUUCGGAGGAGACGAGGGAAGGAAAGGAGGCCAGAGGACACGAGCGAAGUGAAUUGGAACGUCGUAUUGACGUCAUUACAGCCCUCUAUUUAAAAACUCAGACUAAGUUUAUUCAUCAAGGUCAGUUCUUAGAAGUCACCUGCCCUCUAUAUUGUGACGAAAAUAAACACUGCACUUGCUCUGAAUUAUUUCAUUCCAAUAAA
This is a non-coding RNA of Doryrhamphus excisus (bluestripe pipefish), 671 nucleotides long. Lineage: Eukaryota; Metazoa; Chordata; Actinopteri; Syngnathiformes; Syngnathidae. The record is from RefSeq and is a predicted model, not a curated record.